AGACUAGCACCGCGAGCUUCAUUAGACUUCACCAAGCCUCUCUCUCACAGUUCAUCAGCAAGGCCAACAGUUGCUGAUUCCAUCGAGAGUAGCGACAACAGCUCUUCCAUAGUUGCGCCAUUUCACAUUAGCAGCAAUGAUUUCUGCACCGUGAGCAGCAGUGGAAGAUCUUCAUCCCCAGCAGCUUCCUCCUUUUCAAGCAGCUCCAACCGUGCACUCCUCAGCACCGCCGUGGACCUCUCCAUCUGAACCGUGACUUCCUUUUCUCCAUUGAACCACCUUGAGCCUCCAGCAGAAACCUUAGCCUCAGCUGAUUGUCCAAGGUUCUUCUCAAUCCAGCAACAGUGAUUGUCCUCCACAGAUCAGCACAACCCUUGUAAGCAACUAUUCUCCUUAUAAUUCUAGCACUGACUCUCUACAAGCAGUCCAGCAAUGACUCUCCAGCAGUAGCCCCGUCAGCCUUUAUCUCAUCCUCAACCGUCCCAACAGCAGUGUAGGAUUUUCCAAUAGUAGCAG
This 516-nucleotide long non-coding RNA is filed under the name Populus tremula. RNAcentral describes it as "long non-coding RNA (PTRE_LNC001093)". The record is from RNAcentral. Lineage: Eukaryota; Viridiplantae; Streptophyta; Magnoliopsida; Malpighiales; Salicaceae.